CCCUUAGACGUUCUGGGCCGCACGCGCGCUACACUGACCAGUGCAACAAGCAUCCGUCCUUGGCCGACAGGCUCGGGCAAUCUUUGAACGCUGGUCGUGAUGGGGAUAGACUUUUGCAAUUUUUGGUCUUCAACGAGGAAUUCCUAGUAAACGCAAGUCAUCAACUUGCAUUGAUUACGUCCCUGCCCUUUGUACACACCGCCCGUCGCACCUACCGAUUGAAUGGUCCGGUGAAGCCUCCGGAUUGGCGCGCACCUCGGUGCCGCCGAGAAGUUGGCUAAACCUUACCAUUUAGAGGAAGGUGAAGUCGUGACA
This 315-nucleotide ribosomal RNA is filed under the name uncultured eukaryote. Its description in RNAcentral is "partial 18S ribosomal RNA". It matches the Rfam family "Eukaryotic small subunit ribosomal RNA", at positions 1470 to 1796 of the family's 1831-position model. The record is from RNAcentral.